Molecule: long non-coding RNA, 358 nt
Organism: Gossypium arboreum
Lineage: Eukaryota; Viridiplantae; Streptophyta; Magnoliopsida; Malvales; Malvaceae
Exons: 2
Source: RefSeq, a predicted model, not a curated record
GGUGGUUUGUUAGAAAGGUGGAAAGAGACUGGCAAUACAAUUUCACAAGGUGGGUACAAAGAAACAAAGCAAGAAGAAACUAGCUCUGCAUCCAACAUCUUGAUUAGUGGCAUUGGAACUUGGGAUUGAAUUGGAUGGGAAGAUUCAGUAUAUUUAGUUCCUCGAGAGCGAUUAGAAUCAAAAAGUUGGAGGUGUUAUUAAUUUAGCAGAUGAUAUGAGUGUCUUUGUGUUCAUCAUAAUUUUUUAAUUUGUAUUAUGGGUGUUGUGUAGUUAUGUUUAAAUACUGCAUAAACUUAAACUAUUGAGCAAAACAUUAUUGUAACAAUAAAAGUUUUGUUGUAUGAAUUCCAAUGUCAAA